AUACUCAAAACUUCAAGCACUGAAAUCUUUGCGUGUGUAGAGCUUCUCAAAUAGUUUUUUGGCAUGAAAACUUGAAGCACCUACAAGUUUGAUAAUCUUUUCUUUCAAGUACAACAAGCUAAACCGUACAAAAAUAACAUAAACCAAAGAAAACCCAAACAAUGCAUACAAUCAGAGUCUUCAAGAUAGUGUAAAGCAUGCAAGUGACAAAAUAGAAUAAGUAAACUAUUACGACACAAGAUAGAUAAACUUCAUCAUGAUAACUUCGAAAGUAAAUGCCAC
RNAcentral lists this long non-coding RNA (282 nucleotides) under Hordeum vulgare. Its description in RNAcentral is "long non-coding RNA (HVUL_LNC011133)". The record is from RNAcentral. Lineage: Eukaryota; Viridiplantae; Streptophyta; Magnoliopsida; Poales; Poaceae.